This 894-nucleotide ribosomal RNA is filed under the name uncultured bacterium. RNAcentral's name for it is "bacterial SSU rRNA". It matches the Rfam family "Bacterial small subunit ribosomal RNA", at positions 21 to 906 of the family's 1533-position model. The record is from RNAcentral.
GGCUCAGAACGAACGCGGGCGGCGUGGAUAAGACAUGCAAGUCGAACGAUGAUUGCAGGGUAGCAAUAUUCUGCAGUUGGAGUGGCGUAAGGGUGCGUAACACGUGGGUUAUUUGCCCUGAAGUGGGGGAUAACUCCGAGAAAUCGGAGCUAAUACCGCAUGUGAUCGAAAGAUCAAAGCUGGGUCGCAAGACCUGGUGCUUCAGGAUAAGCCCGCGACCUAUCAGCUAGUUGGCAGGGUAACGGCCUACCAAGGCGAAGACGGGUAGCUGGUCUGAGAGGACGACCAGCCACACUGGAACUGAGACACGGUCCAGACACCUACGGGUGGCAGCAGUCGAGAAUUUUUCACAAUGGGCGAAAGCCUGAUGGAGCGACGCCGCGUGGGGGAUGAAUGGCUUCGGCCCGUAAACCCCUGUCAUUCGGGAUCAAUGCGCCUGGUCUAAUACAUCAGGCGUUGAUAGUACCGGAAGAGGAAGGGACGGCUAACUCUGUGCCAGCAGCCGCGGUAAUACAGAGGUCCCAAGCGUUGUUCGGAUUCACUGGGCGUAAAGGGUGCGUAGGCGGCCAGGUAAGUCUGGUGUGAAAUCUCGGAGCUCAACUCCGAAACGGCACUGGAAACUAUCUGGCUUGAGGUUGGGAGGGGGGACUGGAAUUCUCGGUGUAGCAGUGAAAUGCGUAGAUAUCGAGAGGAACACCAGUGGCGAAGGCGAGUCCCUGGACCAAUCCUGACGCUGAGGCACGAAAGCCAGGGGAGCAAACGGGAUUAGAUACCCCGGUAGUCCUGGCCCUAAACGGUGCAUGUUUGCUGUGAGAGGAAUCGACCCCUUUCGUGGCGGAGCUAACGCGUUAAACAUGCCGCCUGGGGAGUACGGUCGCAAGAUAAAACUCAAAU